AUCAGAGGGGGAUAACAUCCGGAAACGGAUGCUAAAACCGCAUAGGUCUUCGAACCGCAUGGUUUGAAGAGGAAAAGAGGCGCAAGCUUCUGCUGAUGGAUGGACCCGCGGUGCAUUAGCUAGUUGGUGAGGUAACGGCUCACCAAGGCCGUGAUGCAUAGCCGACCUGAGAGGGUGAUCGGCCACAUUGGGACUGAGACACGGCCCAAACUCCUACGGGAGGCAGCAGUAGGGAAUCUUCCGCAAUGGACGCAAGUCUGACGGAGCAACGCCGCGUGAGUGAAGAAGGUUUUCGGAUCGU
This 301-nucleotide ribosomal RNA is filed under the name Mycobacterium tuberculosis. RNAcentral's name for it is "bacterial SSU rRNA". It matches the Rfam family "Bacterial small subunit ribosomal RNA", at positions 132 to 426 of the family's 1533-position model. The record is from RNAcentral. Lineage: Bacteria; Bacillati; Actinomycetota; Actinomycetes; Mycobacteriales; Mycobacteriaceae.